Molecule: microRNA precursor, 84 nt
Filed under: Bombyx mori (domestic silkworm)
Lineage: Eukaryota; Metazoa; Arthropoda; Insecta; Lepidoptera; Bombycidae
Description: mir-2807 microRNA precursor family
Rfam family: mir-2807 microRNA precursor family
Source: Rfam by way of RNAcentral
UUAACUUCAAUUUGUAUGGAGUCGGACCGUUUGCUUAUGUUUGCCGCUAGGGGCGCUGUUCCCAUUGCAUACAAAUUUGAGUUA